UGGGGAAUAUUGGACAAUGGGGGGAACCCUGAUCCAGCCAUGCCGCGUGUGUGAAGAAGGCCUUAUGGUUGUAAAGCACUUUAAGCGAGGAGGAGGCUCUUUUGGUUAAUACCCAAGAUGAGUGGACGUUACUCGCAGAAUAAGCACCGGCUAACUCUGUGCCAGCAGCCGCGGUAAUACAGAGGGUGCGAGCGUUAAUCGGAUUUACUGGGCGUAAAGCGUGCGUAGGCGGCUUUUUAAGUCGGAUGUGAAAUCCCCGAGCUUAACUUGGGAAUUGCAUUCGAUACUGGGAAGCUAGAGUAUGGGAGAGGAUGGUAGAAUUCCAGGUGUAGCGGUGAAAUGCGUAGAGAUCUGGAGGAAUACCGAUGGCGAAGGCAGCCAUCUGGCCUAAUACUGACGCUGAGGUACGAAAGCAUGGGGAGCAAACAGGAUUAGAUACCCUGGCAGUCCAUGCCGUAAACGAUGUCUACUAGCCGUUGGGGUCUUUGAGACUUUAGUGGCGCAGCUAACGCGAUAAGUAGACCGCCUGGGGAGUACGGUCGCAAGACUAAAA
RNAcentral lists this ribosomal RNA (553 nucleotides) under uncultured bacterium. RNAcentral describes it as "partial 16S ribosomal RNA". It matches the Rfam family "Bacterial small subunit ribosomal RNA", at positions 355 to 899 of the family's 1533-position model. The record is from RNAcentral.